CUGAGCAGGAUCCUGGACGCUGCAUCAUCUGGUCUGCAGCAGUGUGUUCUGGACACUCUGGUGAAGAGAGGAGCUGAGCUGUCAUCUGAUCACCAUCUGGGGAGCUUUGGCAGCAGUCUGAGUGAGGCUGGGGACUCAUUGCUGAUGGGGCUGUGCAGAGCUUUGACUGCAAGCUGGUUGGUGCUUGUAGUGUUGCUAACCUCCUAACCAGAUCUCAUUAACUCCUCGUGUUUUGGGGAAUGAAAGGUCCAGCUGAAACAUCCACUCUUUGUCAGAUUGUUGUCUUCAUUCUGGUGCUCUGUGGACUUGAGUUACCUGAAACCUGAAGGAUUGUCUCAUUGCCUGCUGUUUGGAAAGGAC
Molecule: long non-coding RNA, 360 nt
Organism: Astatotilapia calliptera (eastern happy)
Lineage: Eukaryota; Metazoa; Chordata; Actinopteri; Cichliformes; Cichlidae
Source: Ensembl